Molecule: non-coding RNA, 155 nt
Organism: Paramuricea clavata
Lineage: Eukaryota; Metazoa; Cnidaria; Anthozoa; Malacalcyonacea; Plexauridae
Source: the annotation of a GenBank genome assembly
AGUUGGCACUAUCAGACUUGUUACAAGGGUGUUCUAACAAGUCUGAUACAGUCAUGAUGUAACAAUAAUGUGACAAGGUUGUAACAAUAUUGUUAUAUCAUGUCUGUAUUGGUCUUGUUUGGAACAACCUUGUAACAAGUCUGAUAAUGUCAACA